Molecule: ribosomal RNA, 443 nt
Filed under: uncultured bacterium
Lineage: Bacteria
Description: partial 16S ribosomal RNA
Rfam family: Bacterial small subunit ribosomal RNA
Source: RNAcentral
CCUACGGGUGGCAGCAGUGGGGAAUAUUGGGCAAUGGGCGCAAGCCUGACCCAGCAACGCCGCGUGAAGGAAGAAGGCUUUCGGGUUGUUAACUUCUUUUCUCAGGGACGCAGCAAGUGACGGUACCUGAGGACUAAGCCACGGCUAACUACGGGCCAGCAGCCGCGGUAAUACGAGGGUGGCAAGAGUUAUCCGGAUUUACUGGGUGUAAAGGGCGUGUAGGCGGGACUGCAAGUCAGAUGUGAAAACCACGGGCUCAACCCGGGGUCGGCAUUUGAAACUGGAGUUCUUGAGUACUGGAGAGGCAGACGGAAUGCGUGGUGUAGCGGUGAAAUGCGUAGAUAUUACGAGGAACACCAGUUGCGAAGGCAGUCUGCUGGACAGCAACUGACGCUGAGGCGCGAAAGCGUGGGGAGCAAACAGGAUUAGAUACCCCAGUAGUC